GCGGGAAUAGCUCAGUUGGUAGAGCGAUACCUUGCCAAGGUAUAGGUCGNNGGUAGAGCGCAACCUUGCCAAGGUUGAGGUCGCGAGUUCGAGUCUCGUUUCCCGCUCCA
Molecule: transfer RNA, 110 nt
Filed under: Gallionellaceae bacterium
Lineage: Bacteria; Pseudomonadati; Pseudomonadota; Betaproteobacteria; Nitrosomonadales; Gallionellaceae
Description: tRNA-Gly
Rfam family: tRNA
About the family: Transfer RNA (tRNA) molecules are approximately 80 nucleotides in length. Their secondary structure includes four short double-helical elements and three loops (D, anti-codon, and T loops).
Source: RNAcentral